GAUGAACGCUAGCUACAGGCUUAACACAUGCAAGUCGAGCGGAGUGAUGGUGCUUGCACUAUCACUUAGCGGCGGACGGGUGAGUAAUGCUUAGGAAUCUGCCUAUUAGUGGGGGAUAACAUCUCGAAAGGGAUGCUAAUACCGCAUACGUCCUACGGGAGAAAGCAGGGGAUCACUUGUGACCUUGCGCUAAUAGAUGAGCCUAAGUCGGAUUAGCUAGUUGGUGGGGUAAAGGCCUACCAAGGCGACGAUCUGUAGCGGGUCUGAGAGGAUGAUCCGCCACACUGGGACUGAGACACGGCCCAGACUCCUACGGGAGGCAGCAGUGGGGAAUAUUGGACAAUGGGGGGAACCCUGAUCCAGCCAUGCCGCGUGUGUGAAGAAGGCCUUAUGGUUGUAAAGCACUUUAAGCGAGGAGGAGGCUCUUUUGGUUAAUACCCAAGAUGAGUGGACGUUACUCGCAGAAUAAGCACCGGCUAACUCUGUGCCAGCCGCCGCCGUAA
RNAcentral lists this ribosomal RNA (503 nucleotides) under uncultured bacterium. RNAcentral's name for it is "partial 16S ribosomal RNA". It matches the Rfam family "Bacterial small subunit ribosomal RNA", at positions 28 to 523 of the family's 1533-position model. The record is from RNAcentral.